Molecule: long non-coding RNA, 1502 nt
Filed under: Salmo salar (Atlantic salmon)
Lineage: Eukaryota; Metazoa; Chordata; Actinopteri; Salmoniformes; Salmonidae
Description: lncRNA (ENSSSAG00000103462.1)
Source: RNAcentral
UACAGGUUAGACAGAAACACCUUUGGCGGCGAUUACAGCAGUGAGUCUCUCUGAGUAAGUCUCUAAGAGCUUCGCACACCUGAAUUGUGCACCAUUUAUCAAGGUGUUGGGAAUCAUGGCUAGACAGCCAUAGAUUUUCAAGCAAAACUAACUCGACCACUCAUGAACAUUCACUGUCUUCUUGGUAAGCAUCUACGGUGUAGAUUUGGCCUUGUGUUUCAGGUUAUUGUCCUGCUGAAAUGUGAAUUCAUCUCCCAGUGUCUGGUGGAAAGCAGACUGAACCAGGUUUUCAUCUAGAAUUUUUCCUGUGCUUAGCUUUAUUCCAUUUCUUUUCACCCUGAAAAACUCCUCAGUAUUUGCCGAUGACAAGCAUACCCAUACCAUGAUGCAGCCGCCACCAUGCUGGAAAAAUAAGGAGGCAGUUCGUUACUCAGUGACGUAUUGAAUCUGCCCCAAACAUAAGGUUUCCAGUUUUCAUGUCACCUGUCCAAGUACAGUGAAAUACCUUUCUUGCAAGUUCCAAAACCAACAAUGCAGUAAUCAAUAUCAAUGUAGCAUUAAAGAUAACAAGGUAGGGAACUGGAGUGAUGGAGGUAGAUAUGUAUAGGGGGAAGGGGACAGGGAUACUGGAGUGAUGGAGGUAGAUAUGUAUAGGGGGAAGGAGACAGGGAUACUGGAGUGAUGGAGGUAGAUAUGUAUAGGGGACAGGGAUACUGGAGUGAUGGAGGUAGAUAUGUAUAGGGGGAAGGGGACAGGGAUACUGGAGUGAUGGAGGUAGAUAUGUAUAGGGUUAAGGUGACUAGAGUGUGAGAGAGUGUACAUAGAGACAGUGCAAAAAUAAAAUACAAGGGUCAACUUAGAGAAUCCAUGCUGUUAGCUAUUUAGUCAGCUAUAUAGCAGUCUUAUGGCUUGGGGAUAGAAGUUGUUCAGAGGCUGUUCGGCUUUGCAUUUAGACCAAAAAGUGUAUUUCCUUUUCCAUUUUGUAUUUAAAUUACUUUAGUGCUUUGUUGCGUGAUGCUAUCGCGUCUGCAUGGACCAACAUUCCUGUGGGAACAUUUCUGAUACCUUGUAGAAUGCCCCAGAGAAUUCAGGUUGUUCUGGAGGCAAAGGGAGUCCGACCCGGUACUAGAUGGGAGUACCUAAUAAACUGUCCGGUGAGUGUAUAAUCCACAGCAUAAUUAUUAACUUAAACCAUGCUUAAAGAGAUAUUCAAAUAUCUGAUUUGUUAUUGUUAUGCAGCUACCAAUCGCUGUCCUUCUUUAUGAGGCUUUCGUAAAGCUCCCUGGUCUUUGUAGUUUAACCUGUGCUUGAUAUUCUAAUACUUGACUGAGGGACUGAUGUUAUAUGUUUUGGGGGACCGAGGAAGUCAUUCAAAAAUCAUGUCAUCCCCUAUUAUUCCAUGUAAAUUAUUGUGUGAUUUGUUAAGGCACAUUUUACUCCUGAACUAAGUUACUCUUGACAUAACAAAGGGUCUGAAUACUUAUACAAUGAUUAUUUUAGUU